GAUGAACGCUGGCGGCGUGCUUAACACAUGCAAGUCGAACGGGAUCCCAGGGGUGCUUGCACUUUUUGGUGAGAGUGGCGAACGGGUGAGUAACACGUGAGUAACCUGUCCUUUUCUUUGGGAUAGGCAUUCGAAAGGGUGUUUAAUACCUUAUGUUCUGUCUGCCUCGCAUGGGGUGGGUGGGAAAGGCUUUGGCCGGAUUUGGGUGGGCUCGCGGUCUAUCAGCUUGUUGGUGGGGUGAUGGCUUACCAAGGCUUUGACGGGUAGCCGGCCUGAGAGGGUGGUCGGUCACAUUGGGACUGAGAUACGGCCCAGACUCCUGCGGGAGGCAGCAGUGGGGGAUAUUGCACAAUGGGCGAAAGCCUGAUGCAGCGACGCCGCGUGGGGGAUGAAGGCCUUCGGGUUGUAAACUUCUUUUGCUCUGAACAAGGCAUGCCAGUGGGUGUGUUGAGUGUAGGGGUUGAUUAGCGCCGGCUAACUACGUG
RNAcentral lists this ribosomal RNA (485 nucleotides) under uncultured bacterium. Its description in RNAcentral is "partial 16S ribosomal RNA". It matches the Rfam family "Bacterial small subunit ribosomal RNA", at positions 28 to 507 of the family's 1533-position model. The record is from RNAcentral.